RNAcentral lists this ribosomal RNA (470 nucleotides) under uncultured bacterium. RNAcentral's name for it is "partial 16S ribosomal RNA". It matches the Rfam family "Bacterial small subunit ribosomal RNA", at positions 28 to 507 of the family's 1533-position model. The record is from RNAcentral.
GACGAACGCUGGCGGCGUGCUUAACACAUGCAAGUCGAACGAUGAAGCCUAGCUUGCUAGGUGGAUUAGUGGCGAACGGGUGAGUAAUACGUGAGUAACCUACCUUUAACUCUGGGAUAAGCCCGGGAAACUGGGUCUAAUACCGGAUACGACCAAUCUCCGCAUGGGGUGUUGGUGGAAAGCGUUAUGUAGUGGUUAUAGAUGGGCUCACGGCCUAUCAGCUUGUUGGUGAGGUAACGGCUCACCAAGGCGACGACGGGUAGCCGGCCUGGGAGGGUGACCGGCACACUGGGACUGAGACACGGCCCAGACUCCUACGGGAGGCAGCAGUGGGGAAUAUUGCACAAUGGGCGCAAGCCUGAUGCAGCGACGCCGCGUGAGGGAUGACGGCCUUCAGGUUGUAAACCUCUGUUAGCAGGGAAGAAGAGAGAUUGACGGUACCUGCAGAGAAAGCGCCGGCUAACUACGUG